Molecule: long non-coding RNA, 343 nt
Organism: Equus quagga
Lineage: Eukaryota; Metazoa; Chordata; Mammalia; Perissodactyla; Equidae
Exons: 3
Source: RefSeq, a predicted model, not a curated record
AAAGGCUUAUUGUGCCAGACACUGUGGUAGACGCCAGGGAUAUAAUGAUGAAGAAGAUGUGGCACCACCUUCAAAGAGUUUGGUCUAGUGGAGAAUACAGGCAAGAAAAAAGGCAGGUGAAAAUCCUAGAAUGGCAGAGGGAAGAAAUCCUCUUUCUGUAAUUCCAGAAGAAUUCCACAGUGGGAGCCAUUUUCAAGGAUGCGGCCUUGAGUGAGCAAUGUGUUGCUGAGACCAUCUGGACUGAAUAUGUGACUGAACCCAGGGAAGGCCUCUGCAUAGACUGUUAAGAUUCUGGCAGGCAGAUGCAGAGAUCCACUUGUCUUACGGCCGCCCAGGACAAGCC